AAUAUUACUGUCUCUAGAUCCUGCGAAGAUUGCAAAUUCGCGGCACCGAAAACUCCAGUUCAGGAUCGGCUCAAAAACGUAAAUCAAAGGAAUAUGACUGCGAAAUUGAGGAGUGCCAUUUUUUCGUGGAGCUAUCAAGAAUUAAAAGGAGCAAGAGAUUUUUGCAUUGUGCAACGCCAAAGCAUCGUAGAGUGAGUAAUUGAAACAA
Molecule: long non-coding RNA, 208 nt
Organism: Ooceraea biroi (clonal raider ant)
Lineage: Eukaryota; Metazoa; Arthropoda; Insecta; Hymenoptera; Formicidae
Source: RefSeq, a predicted model, not a curated record